This 1499-nucleotide unclassified non-coding RNA is filed under the name Bombus terrestris (buff-tailed bumblebee). Its description in RNAcentral is "misc RNA ENSBTSG00005031640.1". Lineage: Eukaryota; Metazoa; Arthropoda; Insecta; Hymenoptera; Apidae. The record is from RNAcentral.
AUUUCAAGAGACGAAAAUCUGGGUCUGUUGGUCAGUAUCGGGGAUGCUGCGGUCCACGCAGCAUCCCUCUUGCUCGUAAAGUAAUUUUUCAUAAUCCAACAGUUUGUAACAGUUCUCGACCGUCGUGACAAACUACAUUACUCGGCUCAUAAACAAAUUUUUAUUACUCGUUUCGAUACGUUUCGACACCAGUAAAAUAUAAUUUCUUUGGACGAUUUGAUCGUAAAGUAUUUUAUGUGUAAAGUUUUACGGUUCUGUACAAUUUAGUGUUUGGAAAAAUUGAAGAAACAGUGACUUCGAUGAUCGUUCUACAUCUCCGUUACUAUAAUGGCAGAACGCGAGUGGAGAACAGAGGAGGCCGGAUAAUAGCCACGGAGGAACCGGAAAGCAUAAACCCGCGCAAAAGUAGGAGCCACUUCAAGCGUUUUCUGCGGCACGACCCUCCCGAAAAUUAUCCCCGGUCGACCUGGCCAGACACGUCCUACCCUAACACGAAAUAAGGAAUAUUCUUCAUCCAUACAAUUCACUUAGAAAAAGAGGUUUGCAAGUUAAUAAGAAGAGGAAGAAGCUACGGGGGAAACAUAGAAAAGAAAAACCGAAAAAACAUUGCUUACGGUCUCAAAAAUGACAAAAAUGAUUAGACAAAUUUUAGAAGUGACAAGAAUGAGCAGAAAAAUUGUAAAAAUAACGAGGACGACUAACAAAAUGCUUUUUAUAGCUUCUUUGAAGAAUACACAAGACUUUGGUAAAAAGAAAAUUCAGUGCGUGGCUCCUUAUGAUACGGAAGUUUGUCUAUAACUUGGAAAAGUAAAUACAAGGAAACAAAAUACCUUCUAAAUACAUAUGGAUAACGCAUACAACUCGAAAGUGAGAUUUAAAAUAACGUAUAUUUGAUGAGACAUUGCAGCACUUAGAAAAAAGGAAAUAAAAAUUACGACAAAACAAGUUCAUCUUUAGAUUGAAAAAUCAAUGCAAUAUUUAACGUAUACAGACACAAGACAAAGGUUCUUUAAACUUUGAUGAUUAUUUUGCCGCUCUGAACAAUUUAAACAAAUUACAAUCAACAAACAAGUUAAAAUAACUGGAUUUUUUAUUUCAAAUUAAAACGACAGAAGCAAUAAGUAAAACUUUGAGAAAAUUCGAGGCGAUAUUUACAACAACGAAAAGAACUUUAUUUGAUGCAACGCCAUUGCAUAAAUUGUGGUUGUGCAACUUACAGAAUUGCCACGCCCCUGUGCUGCAACCUUAACUUCCGACACCACCUAUAAUAAACCCUUUAAACUCCCAUGUGCAUCGCAUACUCCUCCUUUCUCCCGUCCCCUGUAUUCAGGGUUGUCCAAAGUUCGAAGUUCUUUCGACGGUCAGAACUUUUUCCGUUUCAUAAACUGGCCCCGGUACAAUCCCUGACAAAGUUUCUUUCAUAGUACAGAAUCGUUUCGAAAUUGCUACAUCGUACCCUCUUCGUGGAAUUUCAAAUAAAUUGUUGUAGACAGAAACAA